Molecule: small RNA, 4199 nt
Filed under: Rattus norvegicus (Norway rat)
Lineage: Eukaryota; Metazoa; Chordata; Mammalia; Rodentia; Muridae
Description: uncharacterized LOC103690087
Source: RNAcentral
AGUUUUUUACCAGAUAAGCUUUUUAAAAAAUUAUGUUCAACAAUUAUCUUUUUAUUGUAGUUAAGUUUUUCAAAUUCUUGCUGUUUUCAAUAUCUCCUGGUUUCAUCAUCCCUACUGAGAAAUUACGUAUACAAUCUUAUAAUUAAUUGUUUGCUUUGGUCUUCUUUUAUUUUCCUGCUUUAUGAUAAAAUUUUCAUUAGCCUAAAUGUGUUAUUAAUUUUUCUUGUUUCUUAAAUAUUUGUUCAAUAUUAUAUUCACAACUUUAAGUUCAAAGGAUCAGUUUUCUGAACAGAUCUUCAUACACUAUAAAUUCCUUGUUGUAUGACCAUCUCUAAUAAUUUUAUUUUUAAUUUUUAGGUAAUGCCUGAUUAUAAUUUAAAUAAGGACGUUGACAAAAAUUAAUGAACCAUUUGCACAAAAAAUAUUUGAAUCAACAUUUAUUCACUCCUGGAAGAUAUUAAAUAUUUCAACAGAAUAUUCCAAUGGAUGGAACUUUUUCCAGCAUCUGGAUUAUUUUCCAGGUUAGACACAUGUUUGUCCACAGACUUGUCUUCUCUGAAUGAAAUCCAAAAGUUGUUUUUACUCCUAGAACCCUCAAAGCCUCUCUGUUUUUUGUCUAUCUAUUUUGCUCACUGUUGUUGAAUCUAUAUUCUUCAAAUGUGCCUUUACCAAGUCUCCAAAAUCACUGUGAGUAUAUGAUUCUCUGGGUAUGAGGUUGUGUAGUCAUGUCAAAUUAAAAUUUAAUAUUCCACAUACAGUCUGCACAGACAAAUAUAAGAAAUUUUGUAAUAACAUUUGUCUUGGUUAGUGUUGAUAGCUGAAUGCGAUUUCUUAUUCUACUGUGGAUCAAUAGAUCAAGAUUCCUUCAGAGAGGAAAGGCAAGUACCCAAAGGUUUUCUUCUAAUGACUGAAACACGUGGUCAGAAGACACACUAUUAACACUCGUCCUAAUAAUUUUUCAGCUAAAGAGUUGGGAAUGUAAGGAAAGGAAAUGGCUAGACUAUUCAAGAUUCUACUGGCAGAUUAUUUGUGAUGGUUGGUCUCUUUUUGCCUCCUAGAACAUUCAAGAGUACUUCAAGAUGCAAAGGAAAGAAGAGUUAAGAAAAGAAGGCCUUUCAUAACAUAUUGUUCCACAGGGGCUCUGAGCCCCACCAGGACAAAGUUUUCACAGUUGCUAGAGUUAACAAGACACGAAACCUACUAGGAAAAGACCUGACUUCUAUUUGCCAUGAUGGAAAACUCCCCACAGUAAUUCUGGAAUGUUUUAUGUUACUAUCUGCCUUAUGGACAAGAUCCUGCUUCUUAAAUGAACCCUAAUCUCUUCAAUUCCAUCAGCAUGAAGAGAAACAAUUGUGCAUCAAAUCAUUGGCUAUACAAUAAGGAUAUGCUGUCUCUCAACAAAGAAAAUGGAACCAAAACUGAGGGUAUAUUGGCAAUAUCACUAAACAUAGCAUCAUGUCAAACAAUAAAGAAGUUGGAUUGUGAAAAAGAUGUAAACAUAAAAACAAUCCAUCUGUGCAUAUGGUAGCAUGUAUCUUAAAGGAAUUACUUCAAAUUAUCAAAGGAAAUUUGCUGACAUCUAGACUAUAUGAAGAAUGACUUGGGGUACAUGACCAGGUCAAUGAAGAAGAGAAAGUAGCCACUGUGCAGAGUCCUUAUUUCAAAUACCUCCCACCAGGACCAAAUGUGUAUGGUCUUGUCUAUUGAUAAGACAGAAAACCUACUUGAAAAAGAGCUGACAACAAUUUGUGAUGAUCGAAAUCUGCCCACAGAAAUUCUGGAUAUGCUGUUCUUCAUCCAAGAAAAGGGGCCCCAAAUUCAGGAUAUAUCCAUAAUUUCACACAACAUAGCAUCAUGAAGAAGUUGGAUUGUGAAGAAGAUGUAAACAUAAAAAAAUAAUCCAUCUGUGUAUAUGGUAGCAUGUAUCUUAAAGGUAAGGAAAGUCCUUGCAUCAUACACCCUCAGGAUUCUUCUCAAUCUAUUUGAGUAGUUUCCUUCAUUAUGCAUUCCCUUGAGUGGUAGUAGAUAACAUAUAAGAGAAAUCUGAUAAAAAAGCAAAAACAAAAACAAAAAGCUGUCAUAAUGAGCAGUAAUGUAACUAAGUAUCUUUCAUUUGAUUCUUCCACAAGUAUAUGGAGAGUCACUUCAUACAUGCAUAUGAGUUUCACCUGAUAUGCAUGCCUCCUCAGAUGCAUUUGUCUAAGAGUGUUCUUAAGGGUGUCACUCUCCUUUUUUUCUGAGAGGCAGGUUUCUCUUCCUAGGUAUAGAGCACGUGACUCCUUCAUGUAUAUCUUUGCUGUACAUACCCAGUAGAAUCUCUUGGUCUGCUUGUCCCUCUCACUCACAAAAUAUUGGUAUCCAAAUGAAGGUUCACAUGGCUAUGUAACACGUAUUCUUAAGUACUGGGCCAUUCCUUCAGCACCAUAAUUUUAUUGUUAUAUUUAAAAAUUAAAAUCAUUUCACUCCUCCCUAUUCCUUGCUCUAAUGUUGUUUCCCUUCAAUCUCCCACUUCUGAUAAAAUACAUUUUCUUUAACUGUUAUUUUGUAGAUACAAAUAAAUCCAUAAAUAUGUUCAAAUAACCUGAUGAGUCCAUUAUCCUUGUUAGUAUCUGUACUAUUUCCAAAGGAACCAACUGUGAUUGGCUUACAAAUUAGGGGGUUCAUUUUUGAGAAAGACCAAUUUCCUCACUCUUCAUAGUAUUUAUUUGCAUGUAGUUCCUUAUCUAAAAGUUUGACUUCAUGAGAUUUCCUCAUUUUGAUUUAGUGUUACUAACUUGGAUAAUGUUUUGUUUAGAACUUGCUUAAACAACCAGACUGUGGGACUAACAAAAGUGAAGCUUCUCCUGCAUUUCUCUGAGGCCCAAUCCCAAAGCAGAUAUCCUGAUCCUCUGGAAUUACUUCAAAUCACUUAAGAAAGUCUGCUGACAUCUCGACUAUAUGAAGAAUGACUUGGAGUACCAGACCAAGUCAAUGAAGAAGAGAAAGUAGCCACUGUGCAGAGUCUUUUAGAAAACUACUGCACUCACAUGUUACUCUUCUAAGACAACGUUUCAAAUUAUUAUAUUAAGUUGAGAGGAAUUCUUCUGUGAACCAGAUGACAGCUUAUGAUUUAUCUGUUGUGCCAAGUAUCCUAUAUCUGCCUAGUUCCCACAAUAAACGAUUAGCAAAUGAUAUUGCCAAAAAGAUUUCUCUUAUAAACUUUCCAAUUGAAAACUCCCUGAAAUUAUUUGAAGAAGACUCAGUUUUAGUUUAUUAUGAGACCUCAUUAUUUCACCCUUAUGGAGUGGACUCUGAUUCCCAGAAUAAUCUUUCUAAUCCAGGGGGAUUUCAUUCUAAAUAUAUAAAGAAACUUGCUUUCUACAGAUUUAUGUAAUUUAUUUGGUGUCUCUGAUCAAGAAAUUUGAUCAAAAGAUUCUGCUAUCCAAAGAUAAUGAUACAGUAAAUUCUUCGGGAACCAUACAAAGAUAGAAGAAAUGCAUUUUUAAAGUUUUCUACCACAGAUGCCACAACAAAACUUCAUCCUACUAAAACACCUUAUUCAUGUGUUAUUAAAGAUUAAAAUUUCUCCCAUGAAGACUUAGACUCUUAACAGUUUAUCUGUUCACAUAACCCCUAUAUUCCAUGGCAUUCUACUUCCAGCAACUCGUUAUUUGGGAAUGACCUUUCCAAAAAGAUUUCUAUUGAAGAAAUUCUAACUGAAAACUAGCUCUAGAUAUUUGGAGAUGACGAUCAUACAUUUUAUAAAGAUAUUCCAAAAAGGUCUGAUGACAUAAAAAUGUCUUCAGGUUCACUAAAUACUGUUGAUAGAGCAUGUGCUAUGAAAGAUGCCAUAAGUGACCCCCCUGAGAAAACCUUCUUUAAUGCUAAUGCUGAAAAAUUAAAGAUUCCAUUUGCUGCCCCUCAGAAGGAAGGUCCUACAGAGAGCAGGGCACAACAAACAGCUUCUAUAUGUUCCGUGUUUAACAGUGGAAUCAAUGGCAGAGGAUGACUGAAGAUGCUUACAGCUCAUUCUACUUCAAAGUUCCUUUCCACCUCCCAUUCAACAAUAGAAGAAUAUAUCAUUACAAGACACUGCAGCUUUUAUAUUUUACAUUAUUGUUACAAAGAGUUGUCACUGAUCAUUUUGACUUUAUGCUAUAUAUUACACAUUCUUUAUUAUUAUAAUGAAUGUUAUUAAACUAUAAUAUUGAUUAAACUCC